CCCCUCUCAGGUUCGUACCUGGCGAGUUUCCAGUACUCUACCAGGCUCGGCUACGGGAGGGAGAGUCACACAGAGGUAUACCCAUUCCAUUCCUAGCUUGGCUAGUGGCUAGUGAGUGGAAGGCAACUUGCUACAAGU
Molecule: small nucleolar RNA, 138 nt
Organism: Tachyglossus aculeatus (Australian echidna)
Lineage: Eukaryota; Metazoa; Chordata; Mammalia; Monotremata; Tachyglossidae
Source: RefSeq, a predicted model, not a curated record